CUGCAGAUGUCUGACGUAAUGAGAAUGCGUGAGCCACCACGCCCGGACUUAACUUUCUAAAUUAACUGACACCAUCUCAGAUAUUCAGGGUUCACAAAGGCUUGGAGGGGCCUGCAAAUAUAUACAAUUAUAGAAUUAAAUAGUGAUGGAUAGAGUCCCUUAUUCAAAAAUACUGUUAUAAAUUAAGUUAAAAUAUUAAAGUCAAAGAAACUUCACACCCAUAAUCGCAAUGCUUUCAGAAGAUGGAGGAUUAUUUUGAGCUCAGGACUUUGAGAGCAGCUUGGGCAACACAGCAAGAUGCCAUUUCUACAAAAAUUUUUCAAAAAUAGCUGGGCAUGGUGGUGUGUACAUGUGGUCCCAGCUACUGGGGAGGUUGAGGCGGGAGGAUCACUUGAGCCCAGGAGUUUGAGGCUGCAGUGAGAUGUGCUCAAAUCACUGCACUCCAGCCUGGCUGAGAGACCAAGACCUUAUCUCUUAAAGAAAGAAAAUAGGCGGCUGGGUCCGGUGACUCACGCCUGUAAUCCCAGCCAGGGCACGCGAAUCACCUGAGGUCAGGAGUUCGAGACCAGUCUAGCGAACAUGGUGAAACUCCGUCUCUACUAAAAAUACCAAUAUUAGCCAGGCAUGGUGGCAGGUGCCUAGAAUUCCAGC
Molecule: long non-coding RNA, 651 nt
Organism: Homo sapiens (human)
Lineage: Eukaryota; Metazoa; Chordata; Mammalia; Primates; Hominidae
Gene: DHRSX-IT1
Product: DHRSX intronic transcript 1
Source: Ensembl